Long non-coding RNA from Xenia sp. Carnegie-2017, 166 nucleotides. RefSeq lists it as uncharacterized. Lineage: Eukaryota; Metazoa; Cnidaria; Anthozoa; Malacalcyonacea; Xeniidae. The transcript has 2 exons. The record is from RefSeq and is a predicted model, not a curated record.
GAAAUAUGUUGAUAAUAACGCUGUUUUUGACGACGGUAGAACGGGUUACAGUUGUGAAAUAUCAAACAAGAUUAUAGCAAAAAGAGGACGUAAACGAAGUGCACUAUAUUGUCGUCCAUCCUGGCUGAAAGCAACCAAAAAAAGACGUCUAACAAUCAAUACAAAA